AUUGAACGCUGGCGGCAUGCCUUACACAUGCAAGUCGAACGGUAACAGGUCUUCGGAUGCUGACGAGUGGCGAACGGGUGAGUAAUACAUCGGAACGUGCCCGAUCGUGGGGGAUAACGAGGCGAAAGCUUUGCUAAUACCGCAUACGAUCUACGGAUGAAAGCGGGGGAUCUUCGGACCUCGCGCGGACGGAGCGGCCGAUGGCAGAUUAGGUAGUUGGUGGGAUAAAAGCUUACCAAGCCGACGAUCUGUAGCUGGUCUGAGAGGAUGAUCAGCCACACUGGGACUGAGACACGGCCCAGACUCCUACGGGAGGCAGCAGUGGGGAAUUUUGGACAAUGGGCGAAAGCCUGAUCCAGCCAUGCCGCGUGCAGGAUGAGGCCUUCGGGUUGUAAACUGCUUUUGUACGGAACGAAAAGCCUCUUUCUAAUAAAGAGGGGUCAUGACGGUACCGUAAGAAUAAGCACCGGCUAACUACGUG
This 481-nucleotide ribosomal RNA is filed under the name uncultured bacterium. Its description in RNAcentral is "partial 16S ribosomal RNA". It matches the Rfam family "Bacterial small subunit ribosomal RNA", at positions 30 to 507 of the family's 1533-position model. The record is from RNAcentral.